CCUACGGGAGGCAGCAGUGAGGGAUAUUGGUCAAUGGGGGCAACCCUGAACCAGCAACGCCGCGUGAGGGAAGACGGUUUUCGGAUUGUAAACCUCUGUCCUCUGUGAAGAUAAUGACGGUAGCCGCGUAGGAAGCUCCGGCUAAAUCCGUUCCAGCAGCCGCGGUAAUACGUAGGCAGCAAGCGUUGUCCGGAUUUACUGGGGGUAAUGGGUGCGUAGGAGGCCUUGCAAGUCAGAAGUGAAAUCCAUGGGCUUAAUCGCGGAUCUGCUUUUGAAACUGUAGGGCUUGAGAGAAGUAGAGGCAGGCGGAAUUCCCGGUGUAGCGGUGAAAUGCGUAGAGAUCGGAAGGAACACCAGUGGCGAAGGCGGCCUGCUGUGCUUUAACUGACGCUGAAGCACGAAAGCGUGGGUAGCAAACAGGAUUAGAUACCCUUGUAGUC
This 440-nucleotide ribosomal RNA is filed under the name uncultured bacterium. RNAcentral describes it as "partial 16S ribosomal RNA". It matches the Rfam family "Bacterial small subunit ribosomal RNA", at positions 338 to 795 of the family's 1533-position model. The record is from RNAcentral.